This 71-nucleotide transfer RNA is filed under the name Ovis aries (sheep). It matches the Rfam family "tRNA". Rfam says of the family: Transfer RNA (tRNA) molecules are approximately 80 nucleotides in length. Their secondary structure includes four short double-helical elements and three loops (D, anti-codon, and T loops). Further hydrogen bonds mediate the characteristic L-shaped molecular structure. tRNAs have two regions of fundamental functional importance: the anti-codon, which is responsible for specific mRNA codon recognition, and the 3' end, to which the tRNAs corresponding amino acid is attached (by aminoacyl-tRNA synthetases). tRNAs cope with the degeneracy of the genetic code in two manners: having more than one tRNA (with a specific anti-codon) for a particular amino acid; and 'wobble' base-pairing, i.e. permitting non-standard base-pairing at the 3rd anti-codon position. The record is from Rfam by way of RNAcentral. Lineage: Eukaryota; Metazoa; Chordata; Mammalia; Artiodactyla; Bovidae.
UCUCAAGUGGCUCAGUGGUAAAGAAUCCACCUGCAAUGCAGAAGAUGUAGGUUUGAUCCCUGGCUUGGGAA